UGAGAAGCAGGUGAGUGGUUUAGAACGGAAGUAACUCGCGUCGCUUCACUCUUCAGAACUCUAUGCUUCUGAGAUUUUUUCGCCCGCAAGACGAGGUUUUUGAAGCGCUAUCCCAAAAGAAAACCGAUAUGGAGAAGGAAAUACCUGCUUGAACCGUGGAGCACCUCUGAGAUUCACUGAGAUUGGGAACGCCAGAGAAGUUCUCAUAUUUGAUGAUAGAAUACAUAAGACGUUCGGUGGAAGAGAAAUUGUUUUUGUAUUUUCUCUGUGGAUUAUUCAAUGGUUGGUUUGAAUGCGCUUCCAGGAUGCAUUGCAAAUGAAUGGGGAAUGGGGAAAACGCAAUGUGAAGUCUUUACAUAAAAUAGCAAUAUGAAAAUACGUUUCGAGAGUUGUUUUUGUUGCAUUGGAAUACUCCAUUUGGAAACAAUCUUUCGGAUUUAUAGGUCUUUCUGAGAACCGAGCGUUGAACCUGCACACACCUUUUUGAUGUCAGACAAGAUAUCUGCUGCGUUACCAUGACGAGUGAGGAGUGUCCCGUACCACCGGGCUUGUCCCAAGUAGGGGUGGGGCUCUGUGAGGACUACAGUCCGCUGCAGGCUGAUGACAUCGCUGAAAAGGCGGGGCCUGGUGACGAUGCAAGAAGUGACUUCAGCACCCUGGUGGUCCCCUUCCCAGAACUGGCGCCUGUGGUCUUCUUCUGCCUCAAACAGACCACCUGUCCACGCAGCUGGUGCAUUCGAAUGGUCUCCAGCCCAUAUCCUUAAAUGCUGAAACACACCUAACCCUAUCCUUUACUGCUGAUACAUACUUGACACAAACCCCUAAUCCCUCAGACCUAAACCAUUAUCCUAGCCCCUAACUCUGACACCUUACUCCUAGUCUAACCCUAAGACAGA
Molecule: long non-coding RNA, 896 nt
Organism: Osmerus eperlanus (European smelt)
Lineage: Eukaryota; Metazoa; Chordata; Actinopteri; Osmeriformes; Osmeridae
Exons: 3
Source: RefSeq, a predicted model, not a curated record